CACCGCGGUUAUACGAGAGGCCUAAGUUAACAGACACCGGCGUAAAGAGUGGUUAAGGAGAAAUCAAAACUAAAGCCGAAUAACCUCAAGACUGUUAUACGUUACCGAGGACAAGAAGCCCAACUACGAAAGUGGCUUUAAUUUCCCCGACUCCACGAAAGCUGUGAAACAAACUGGGAUUAGAUACCCCACUAUGCUCAGCCAUAAACCUAGAUAAAACUUUACAUCUAUUAUCCGCCAGGGUACUACGAGCGCUAGCUUAAAACCCAAAGGACUUGGCGGUGCUUCAAACCCACCUAGAGGAGCCUGUUCUAGAACCGAUGAUCCCCGUUAAACCUCACCCUCUCUUGUUUUUACCGCCUAUAUACCGCCGUCGUCAGCUUACCCUGUGAAGGUCUAAUAGUAAGCAAAAUCAGCACAACUCAAAACGCCAGGUCGAGGUGUAGCAUAUGAGAGGGCAAGAAAUGGGCUACAUUCCCUGAAUCUGGGCAUACGAAAAACAUAAUGAAAAAUAUGUCAUGAAGGAGGAUUUAGCAGUAAGCAAGAAAUAGAGAGUCUCGCUGAAACUGGCCAUGAAGCGCGUACACACCGCCCGUCACUCUCCCCGAAAGAACUAAACAAAUAUAUAAAACCCUAAUCUAAACAGAGGGGAGGUAAGUCGUAA
Molecule: ribosomal RNA, 664 nt
Filed under: Hemiramphus marginatus (yellowtip halfbeak)
Lineage: Eukaryota; Metazoa; Chordata; Actinopteri; Beloniformes; Hemiramphidae
Description: partial 12S ribosomal RNA
Rfam family: Bacterial small subunit ribosomal RNA
Source: RNAcentral